RNAcentral lists this ribosomal RNA (484 nucleotides) under uncultured bacterium. RNAcentral describes it as "partial 16S ribosomal RNA". It matches the Rfam family "Bacterial small subunit ribosomal RNA", at positions 30 to 507 of the family's 1533-position model. The record is from RNAcentral.
AUUGAACGCUGGCGGAAUGCUUUACACAUGCAAGUCGAGCGGCAGCACGGGGGUAACCCUGGUGGCGAGCGGCGAACGGGUGAGUAAUACAUCGGAACAUGCCCAGUCGUGGGGGAUAACACUUCGAAAGAAGUGCUAAUACCGCAUACGUCCUGAGGGAGAAAGCGGGGGAUCGCAAGACCUCGCGCGAUUGGAGUGGCCGAUGUCAGAUUAGCUAGUUGGUGGGGUAAAGGCCUACCAAGGCAACGAUCUGUAGCUGGUCUGAGAGGAUGAUCAGCCACACUGGGACUGAGACACGGCCCAGACUCCUACGGGAGGCGGCAGUGGGGAAUUUUGGACAAUGGGGGCAACCCUGAUCCAGCCAUUCCGCGUGAGUGAAGAAGGCCUUCGGGUUGUAAAGCUCUUUCGGCAGGAACGAAACGGUGAGCUCUAACAUAGCUUGCUAAUGACGGUACCUGAAGAAGAAGCACCGGCUAACUACGUG